UGAGGCUGCUGGCUCCGGGAGGGACCUGCCCACCGCCCUACUCUUAAUAAUGAUGCGCUUGGAGGAUUGGGGAUCUGGUGUUUUGGAGGGCAGAUCUGCACUCUGAGGCUAGGAAAUGGACAAGGGUGGAACUCAGGUCCCCGUGCACCUUUGGAGGACAACAGCGAGGCCUCUGCAAAGUACUGGGAGAAGAGUGAGCGAUGCAGAGAAGUGCUAACCCAACCGGGGGCAGGUCCUGAAAAGACACCGGAAGCUGAGUGUUGAGGUUGGCUGUUGGCUCAGGAAACAGCUGGAAGGAUCUUCAGAAUCUGCAGCUGCAGGACCGGGCACAACAGAAACCUCUGACAACAUCCUGUCAACAAUAUGGCUAAUCUUGGUCAUCAACAUGAUUGAAUCUAGAAUUCAUCUCUGGGAUUACCAACCGGAUCAACUGUUUCCAAUCGUGACAAUUUCCAGAGAUUUUCCUGUAGAGAAAUGAAAUCUUAUUUGCCACAAGAUGGAUGGGCUGAAGACAUUAAGUGAGAUAAACCAGACACAGAAGGACAGCAUGCUAUCUCUUUAUGUGGAAGCA
This is a long non-coding RNA of Microtus oregoni (creeping vole), 571 nucleotides long. RefSeq lists it as uncharacterized. The transcript has 4 exons. Lineage: Eukaryota; Metazoa; Chordata; Mammalia; Rodentia; Cricetidae. The record is from RefSeq and is a predicted model, not a curated record.